CCUACGGGUGGCAGCAGUGGGGAAUAUUGGACAAUGGGGGCAACCCUGAUCCAGCCAUGCCGCGUGUGUGAAGAAGGCCCUCGGGUUGUAAAGCACUUUCAGUGAGGAAGAACGCCUGGUGGUUAAUACCCAUCAGGAAAGACAUCACUCACAGAAGAAGCACCGGCUAACUCCGUGCCAGCAGCCGCGGUAAUACGGAGGGUGCGAGCGUUAAUCGGAAUUACUGGGCGUAAAGCGCGCGUAGGUGGCUUGAUAAGCCGGUUGUGAAAGCCCCGGGCUCAACCUGGGAACGGCAUCCGGAACUGUCAAGCUAGAGUGCAGGAGAGGAAGGUAGAAUUCCCGGUGUAGCGGUGAAAUGCGUAGAGAUCGGGAGGAAUACCAGUGGCGAAGGCGGCCUUCUGGACUGGCACUGACACUGAGGUGCGAAAGCGUGGGUAGCAAACAGGAUUAGAUACCCGGGUAGUC
RNAcentral lists this ribosomal RNA (465 nucleotides) under Vreelandella stevensii. Its description in RNAcentral is "partial 16S ribosomal RNA". It matches the Rfam family "Bacterial small subunit ribosomal RNA", at positions 338 to 795 of the family's 1533-position model. The record is from RNAcentral. Lineage: Bacteria; Pseudomonadati; Pseudomonadota; Gammaproteobacteria; Oceanospirillales; Halomonadaceae.